AUGAGGAAAACAGCCAUCAGCAAAACACCAUCCAAGGACGCACGCACAACCAGAAGCCAGGAGGAGUCAGGACAAUGUGUAGAGACUCCUGCAGUGACACUUUCACUCUGUGUUGCUGUUUUCUGUAGAGUGAAAGCAGGGAGAAGAUGAUCUGCAGGAUCCUGUUGCUCAUCAUCCUCACCUCAUGUGUCUCUGGAUCAUUUGUAGUCAAUGUGACACAGACCUCCUAUCAGGCAGAGGAGAACCACAACAUCACACUGGAGUGGACGUUCACCACCAAACCUGACACCUUCAUCACUUCAGUGAAGGUUCUCUGUGGUAGUCCAAAACUCUGUCCUGUAUCAUGUUCAAGAAGGUGUUGAAGUGUCAGAGUCUCGGGAUGACUGCAGG
Long non-coding RNA from Oreochromis aureus, 390 nucleotides. Lineage: Eukaryota; Metazoa; Chordata; Actinopteri; Cichliformes; Cichlidae. The record is from Ensembl.